Homo sapiens (human) is the source of this 82-nucleotide microRNA precursor. NCBI's taxonomy places the organism in Eukaryota, Metazoa, Chordata, Mammalia, Primates, Hominidae. The record is from Ensembl.
GACAAAUUUUAAAUGUCCCUGUCCCCUUCCCCCCAAUUAAAGUAGAUUGGGGGAAAGCGAGUAGGGACAUUUAAAAUUUGUU